Molecule: long non-coding RNA, 605 nt
Filed under: Camarhynchus parvulus
Lineage: Eukaryota; Metazoa; Chordata; Aves; Passeriformes; Thraupidae
Description: lncRNA (ENSCPVG00000000653.2)
Source: RNAcentral
CAGAAAAGGUGGUUUCUUGAUAUUACAGCGAUGGAAGCUAAAGCCACUAGCUUCUACUCCCUUUUUCAUCACCUCUUUGACACACUGGUGUAUACCUUUUCUGGCUUUAGGUGCAGGCUGUACAUCACUUCUGCUUCUUGCAGCAGCCCAAAUUUCUGGUUUCAAAGACAAAUAGUCAAGCUCUGGGAUUUUGAUGAGCUGAUGCCAGUGCUGCCUGAGGUGGGAUUUAGGACACUAAAACACACUCUGUCACAGAGAUGCUGUGGAACUUCUGACAGGAACAUGCAAGAAAAUUUUCCUGUGUUCUUCUGCACUGAAAACAAUUUGUCACUGUGGGAGAUCAGCUGGAAAUUGGAUUUCAAUUAUUUCUUCAGUUAGCUAAGCAAAACCAUAAAACAUUAUGUCAUGAAAAGAAGGCAUAUUCACAAAGGGCUUAUUUACAGCUUUGCUCUUUAGUUGAAAAUGGCUCUGUUUGUUGGAAAAUAAAAGACUGGGCAUGUGUGUUUUUAGGUAACACAUACUUUCAGACCUUCUCACUCUUGUGGAAUCUUAAUAAAAUACUGAUAAGAUAUAUGAUACCAGAGUUGCAGAUACUGCUGUGGGGA